This is a long non-coding RNA of Sander lucioperca (pikeperch), 480 nucleotides long. RefSeq lists it as uncharacterized. The record is from RefSeq and is a predicted model, not a curated record. NCBI's taxonomy places the organism in Eukaryota, Metazoa, Chordata, Actinopteri, Perciformes, Percidae. The transcript is spliced from 4 exons.
CUCAACAGUCUGUGUUUCAGGAAUAAUUUGUAAACAAACAAAUCAACUCUCUUCAACAGCAGCAUGUUUUUCUUUAUUUUAUUUAACUGCUAAUAGGGCUUUUUGGCUAUAACGUGUUUGAACCAUGUUUGAUCAACGCGUGCCUCAACCUGUGAUCGGAGAAUUGAGCUUCAAUGCACCGGAAAUAAUCAAGAUGAAGUUAAAUCCUCACCUCAUCUGCAAGCUGCAUCUUGUCCUCUCACCAACAAUGACCGCAGCGCCAUCUUGUGAAAGAAUAAAGAAACUGCUGCCUACGGAACAGGUGCAUACUGAGCAGGUGGGCUCUUACGUAGGAGCCUUGAGAGUUUGGAGCUGGAGUAAACCAUACUUCACACUAUUUUAGGAGCUGAGAGAUGCAAGACAAAUGGAAAGAGAAACAAAAGAGAACCUGUGUGCUUAAGGAUCUCAUUCCCUCUCUUUCCCACUAUCUCACUCUCUUUC